GCCAGCAUGGCAUAGUGGUUUGAGUGUUGGACUAUGACUCUGGAUACCAGGGUUCAAAUCCCAGCAUGACC
RNAcentral lists this transfer RNA (71 nucleotides) under Phrynosoma platyrhinos (Desert horned lizard). RNAcentral describes it as "tRNA-OTHER". Lineage: Eukaryota; Metazoa; Chordata; Lepidosauria; Squamata; Phrynosomatidae. The record is from RNAcentral.